AUGCAGCAAAAAGCAAGAUUCACAAGUUCAUCUUCUGGAUGCUUUUCAGUACAUCUACUUCCCGUUAUGCAAGUGUGGAGGGCCGGUAAGUUCUACUACCAGUCUACGCCAAGUUCAGGGGCAUUGCCACUGAUGGAAAGGACAAUGAACCAACGACGUCGGAUCAUAGGUCGAAGGAGGCUGGGUCAAGGCACCAUGACUGGAGCGCCCUGGCCGAUCACAGCCACCACCGCAGGCCAUUCAAUGCCACCUCCGCAGGUUGUCUCCAGCCAGUCGUCGCUGCCCCCGGCGCCUCCACGCCCAGACCCCCUUCCUCCGUUCCUCAAAAAUCUGUCAAUUCGAAAGCCUCAAAAACCCGUCAGUUGGAAAUCCGUUCAACAUCCGUGGUUGAUAACGUCCACGAGCUCCUCUGUGAUUAGUUCCUUCGGUCGAUAA
This 435-nucleotide ribosomal RNA is filed under the name Triticum aestivum (bread wheat). RNAcentral describes it as "partial small subunit ribosomal RNA". Lineage: Eukaryota; Viridiplantae; Streptophyta; Magnoliopsida; Poales; Poaceae. The record is from RNAcentral.